UACGUAGGGUGCGAGCGUUGUCCGGAAUUAUUGGGCGUAAAGGGCUCGUAGGCGGUUUGUCGCGUCGGGAGUGAAAACACACAGCUUAACUGUGUGCUUGCUUCCGAUACGGGCAGACUAGAGGUAUGCAGGGGAGAACGGAAUUCCUGGUGUAGCGGUGAAAUGCGCAGAUAUCAGGAGGAACACCGGUGGCGAAGGCAGGUCUCUGGGCCGAUACUGACGCUGAGGAGCGAAAGCGUGGGGAGCGAACAGG
This 253-nucleotide ribosomal RNA is filed under the name uncultured bacterium. RNAcentral's name for it is "partial 16S ribosomal RNA". It matches the Rfam family "Bacterial small subunit ribosomal RNA", at positions 524 to 776 of the family's 1533-position model. The record is from RNAcentral.